UGAGGAAUAUUGGUCAAUGGGCGAGAGCCUGAACCAGCCAAGUAGCGUGAAGGAUGACUGCCCUAUGGGUUGUAAACUUCUUUUAUAAAGGAAUAAAGUCGGGUAUGGAUACCCGUUUGCAUGUACUUUAUGAAUAAGGAUCGGCUAACUCCGUGCCAGCAGCGCGGUAAAGAUGUCU
Molecule: ribosomal RNA, 178 nt
Filed under: uncultured bacterium
Lineage: Bacteria
Description: partial 16S ribosomal RNA
Rfam family: Bacterial small subunit ribosomal RNA
Source: RNAcentral